GGGCUUGUGGUCUAGUGGUAUGAUUUUCCCUUAGCAUGGGAAAGGUCCUGGGUUCAAUUCCCAGCAAGUCCA
This 72-nucleotide transfer RNA is filed under the name Corynespora cassiicola Philippines. It matches the Rfam family "tRNA". From Rfam's summary of the family: Transfer RNA (tRNA) molecules are approximately 80 nucleotides in length. Their secondary structure includes four short double-helical elements and three loops (D, anti-codon, and T loops). Lineage: Eukaryota; Fungi; Ascomycota; Dothideomycetes; Pleosporales; Corynesporascaceae. The record is from Rfam by way of RNAcentral.